AAUGAGAGAACAACUAAAUUGAUUUCUUUCUAUUUGUGCCAUCUUAUAAACUUGAGUGAACGACCUCUAUUCCCCUACGCAGUUUCACAUAGUACCACAACUACACAGAUUUAGAACUUCGUUUACAGUCAACACAAAAUAGAAGGUAAAUUAUUAUAUCCUCCUAAAUCGAAAGUUAGAGAAUUUAGUCU
RNAcentral lists this small RNA (191 nucleotides) under Arabidopsis thaliana (thale cress). RNAcentral's name for it is "ATSL191390". Lineage: Eukaryota; Viridiplantae; Streptophyta; Magnoliopsida; Brassicales; Brassicaceae. The record is from RNAcentral.